This 95-nucleotide vault RNA is filed under the name Chaetura pelagica (chimney swift). It matches the Rfam family "Vault RNA". Rfam says of the family: This family of RNAs are found as part of the enigmatic vault ribonucleoprotein complex. The record is from Rfam by way of RNAcentral. Lineage: Eukaryota; Metazoa; Chordata; Aves; Apodiformes; Apodidae.
GGGCCGGCUCUAGCCCAGCGGUUCCUUCGGUCUCUUCUGAUUCACGUUCCCCUGCCCAGCAGGGGUUCGAGCCCGCGGGCACUCCUGGCCCAUUU